CUUUGCUCCAAAAUAAGAAAGAACUGCUACUCACAGAGGGAAACUAGCAUGGAUUUUACUUUCUGGAACCAUGAUAUGCCUGAAGCAGCAACACAGUGGCAAUUCCAGAGGGGUAGGAGCUCUGCUACCAUGCAAUGACACUGUAAUUACAAAAUAAGGGAAAAUUAGAAGUAGUACAAGUGUGCAGAACUAGCUCUGGUUGUGAGUUGUCAAAGAAAGCAAUGUAGCUGAUCUCAAAGGAACAUGGAAAGGCAAUGACACAAAGACAACUUUGUAGCAGACUGCUGCACCUGUUGCUUGCUUGCCACCUUAGAAGUCAGAGACCUCACACUGGGACCAAUUAAAACAGAACAAGUUAAUAACUUACAGAUCUCAAGAGAACACAGCACCUUAGAAUGCUUGAUUUAAGUUGCAAAUGAGGCUUUUUGACAUCUCACAGCCAGGACAUGCACAGCCCCAUCGCAGAAUGCUACAGUCACUUACAGCAAGAUGGCUUCAAGGAGCUCAGGCUGACCAGAGGCAUUAGAAACAAAAUGGUGGUCACUGACUGAAGAAGGCAUCUGGAAAACGUGCCAGCGAGCUGCAGCUGAGGAGAAGGAGCAGAGCACAGCUGCCUCUGCCAGCGCCUGGGCGGCAGAAAGGGAGACAGAGCUUUUCCCGCCUUGCGGCUGCAGCCUCACGUGCGCCCCUCAGGAGGAGUCGGGCUUUCCCUCAGAGCGACUGAACACGUGCAGGGCCUGAGAAGGCGGGUGUGCCCUCACAACGCCCGGUUAGCUGAACUUCUGUCAGAAAGCCCCCUAGUGCACCACUUAGAGUUAUUCUUGGGAAGAAUGGGAAGCAGACAUUAACAUCUUGUACCUCUGAGGCAUUUAGGUGUGCUGAGCUUGAUAAAGAGGAGAUCCUGUUUGGCGGGUACUUUGCUGCUACAAUUUCUGAAAGCCAUGGGAAUGAGGGAGGGCAUUGGAAUUUUGUAUAUAAAGCAUCCAGGCUUGAAAGUGGCAAUAGCAGCAGCACUGCCCAUUUGCAGCAGAGGAGAGUACUGGAAACACCUCUGUGUUUAGGGCAUGCAUCAUGUUUCUGACAGCACUGUUGCUCAUCUUCUACAGUUGUCUGCAAUGUGCUGGUAAGUCUAAAAUGUCCACUUUCUUAUCUAUGUAUGAUUUGAAGGAAAACGUGUAUUGUGACAAAGUAGGAAACUCCACUGCAAAAUCACAACAAAUAAUAGUACAAUUCAAGUGUUACUCUCCUUUCUCCUGACCAUCAG
This is a long non-coding RNA of Gallus gallus (chicken), 1264 nucleotides long. NCBI's taxonomy places the organism in Eukaryota, Metazoa, Chordata, Aves, Galliformes, Phasianidae. The record is from Ensembl.